CAGGCUUAACACAUGCAAGUCGAGGGGCAGCAUUUUUCUAGCAAUAGAAGAGAUGGCGACCGGCGCACGGGUGAGUAACACGUAUCCAACCUACCGAUAACUCUGGAAUAGCCUUUCGAAAGAAAGAUUAAUACCGGAUAGUAUACGAAUAUCGCAUGAUAUUUUUAUUAAAGAAUUUCGGUUAUCGAUGGGGAUGCGUUCCAUUAGUUUGUUGGCGGGGUAACGGCCCACCAAGACUACGAUGGAUAGGGGUUCUGAGAGGAAGGUCCCCCACAUUGGAACUGAGACACGGUCCAAACUCCUACGGGAGGCAGCAGUGAGGAAUAUUGGUCAAUGGGCGCAGGCCUGAACCAGCCAAGCAGCGUGAAGGAUGAAGGCUCUAUGGGUCGUAAACUUCUUUUAUAUGGGAAUAAAGUUUUCCACGUGUGGAAUUUUGUAUGUACCAUAUGAAUAAGGAUCGGCUAACUCCGUGCCAGCAGCCGCGGUAAUACGGAGGAUCCGAGCGUUAUCCGGAUUUAUUGGGCUUAAAGGGAGCGUAGGUGGAUUGUUAAGUCAGUUGUGAAAGUUUGCGGCUCAACCGUAAAAUUGCAGUUGAAACUGGCAGUCUUGAGUACAGUAGAGGUGGGCGGAAUUCGUGGUGUAGCGGUGAAAUGCUUAGAUAUCACGAAGAACUCCGAUUGCGAAGGCAGCUCACUAGACUGUUACUGACACUGAUGCUCGAAAGUGUGGGUAUCAAACAGGAUUAGAUACCCUGGUAGUCCACACAGUAAACGAUGAAUACUCGCUGUUUGCGAUAUACAGUAAGCGGCCAAGCGAAAGCAUUAAGUAUUCCACCUGGGGAGUACGCCGGCAACGGUGAAACUCAAAGGAAUUGACGGGGGCCCGCACAAGCGGAGGAACAUGUGGUUUAAUUCGAUGAUACGCGAGGAACCUUACCCGGGCUUAAAUUGCAAUGAAUAUGUAGGAAACUAUAUAGCCGCAAGGCAUUUGUGAA
RNAcentral lists this ribosomal RNA (994 nucleotides) under uncultured bacterium. RNAcentral describes it as "bacterial SSU rRNA". It matches the Rfam family "Bacterial small subunit ribosomal RNA", at positions 43 to 1036 of the family's 1533-position model. The record is from RNAcentral.